Macaca fascicularis (crab-eating macaque) is the source of this 2821-nucleotide long non-coding RNA. The record is from Ensembl. NCBI's taxonomy places the organism in Eukaryota, Metazoa, Chordata, Mammalia, Primates, Cercopithecidae.
AUUUUUUUUUUUUUUUUUUUUUUGUAUUUUUAGUAGAGACGGGGUUUCACCAUCUUGGCCAGGCUGAUCUUGAACUCCUGACCUCGUGAUCCACCCGUCUCGGCCUCCCAAAGUGCUGGGAUUACAGGUGUGAGCCAUGGCACCCAGACUUUAUCAAUUAUUUUCUAUCUUUUCUUUUGAAUACUUACUUUAAACUAUUCUGCUUUUUCAUAGCCAAAAUCCCUUUCUUAUUAUGAUUAUUUUAUUUUGCACCCUGCUAUGGUUUGAAUGUCUGUGUCUCCCCAAAAUUUAUAUAUUGAGACCUAACCCCCAAAGUGAUAGUAUUUGUAGAUGGGAACCUUUGGGAGGUGAUCAGGUCAUGAGAAUGGAACCCUUAUGCAUAGUAUUAGUGCCUUUAUAAAAAAGACCUGGGCCGGGCGCAGUGGCUCAAGCCUGUAAUCCUAGCACUUUGGGAGGCCGAGACGUGCGGAUCACGAGGUCAGGAGAUCGAGAUCAUCCUGGCUAACACGGUGAAACCCUGUCUCUACUAAAAAAUACAAAAAACUAGCCGGGCGAGAUGGCAGGCACCUGUAGUCCCAGCUACUCGGGAGGCUGAGGCAGGAGAAUGGCAUGAACCCGGGAGGCGGAGCUUGCAGUGAGCCGAGAUCGCACCACUGCACUCCAGCCUGGGCGACAGAGCAAGACUCUGUCUGAAAAAAAAAAAAAAAAAGAGAGAGAGACCCUAGGGAGAGACCCUAGGGAGCCAGUUCACCCCUUCUGCCACGUGAGGCCCCUGCAAGAAGACACUAUCUCUGAACCAGAAAGCAGGCCCUCUCCAGACACCAAAUCAGUGCCUUGAUCUUUGAUUCCAGUCCCUAGAACCAUGAGAAAUAAAUUUCUGUUGUUUAUAAACCACCCAGUGUAUCGUAUUUUGUUAUAGCAUCCCAAACAGUCUAAAAUACAUCCUCUCAUGGAUAAAAUGUCUCAUGGAUAAAAUGUCUUUUCUUAUUUCUCUAUAGAUAGUAACUAUGCCACUUUUAAAGAUUUGUUCUGUUGUUUCCUCUCUUUUGGUCUCUUUGUUUCAUGUUAGGACUUUCCAUAAACAUCUGGUAAUCUUUGGCUAUCUGUUAAGAUUUCAUUAUGAGGUACAGAGAACUGGUAGAGGGUUCUGUGUGCAUGAAGGUGGCUUAUUCUCAGAGGCGAUCUGGCACAGAACCAGCUUAUUCACUGAGGGGAGUCUCCCCAGUGUCUGAAUCUGAAAGUUUCUUCUCUGUGACCAUCCCGGUUUUUUCCAGAGUAGGAUCGUUUCCUGACUGACUGCCAGUGUUCUGGAAGCAGGUGCAGUAAAGAGCCUGAGAGUCCCACUAAUGUGUGCGUGAAAAUGAAUCCUUAGUCACCUUGUUCAUCCCUGACCCAUACUGCCCGACAAGGACUCUCAGGUCCCACAACUAAUUCUUUUUAACACGAGAAGGUAUUAAGAGGGUUAAGAGGUUCUCCAUGAUUCACCUACUAGUGUGAAUUCAUAUCUGUUCCUUUUGCUUUCCCCCCUGGCCCUUAGCUGAUAUCAACCGCCCUGAGGAAAUGGAAGUCUGAUUGGUCAGGAAGCAGGAAUAAAUGGGUAAUGUGGGGUCCCAGAUCCCCCUCAGCAGGCAAGCAGCCCAGAGGUGGGUAAAGUACAUUAGGAGAGGGUGCUGCAAUCCCGGGACUAGGGCCCUGGACCUGGACACCAAAAGGGAGUUGAGAAUGUAGAAAAGAAAACUUAUGCUCAAAUUGUGCUCAGAGCCAGGGCUCUAUGCAAAGCAGCAGCAGGUGACCUGAUUUCUCCCUCCUGCACUGCAGAGAACCUGCCCUCAAAGACCCAGAGCUCAGCUUCAGUAGAAGUUGAACAGCACUGUGCAAGCGACCCUGAGAACCCAGUCACCCUGGGAAAAAUGGUUUCUAGGGGAAAACACAUUCUUUGGUCCACACAACCAACUUACAAAUGAUCUUUUGGACCAUGUCCUGCCUGCAAACUGAGGCUCGAUUCACCUUUAAUGGGCCAGCUCUGGCGGUGCCAAGGGAGAGAGGCCAUUAGCAGAAAUGAAAAAAGCAAGAAAUCUUUUAGUCCAUUAGACUAAAAGAAGAUUUUUCAUGCUUUAUUAUUUAUGAUUUGCGACUUCAGUUACUGUUUCCUGGAACAAAUGUUAUGAUUCAGCUUCUAUUUACUGAAGCAAAUAGAUGCUUAUCAGUUGUCAUGCUACAAAUCACAAAGCAGUCAGUAAGGCCUUUGGGGCUGUGGCCUCUUUUGCAAUUCUUUGAUGUCUUGUCAGGUAACUUAUUUUCUGUGCCUCAGAGUUUCCAAAAGCUACCACAAUCUGAUGUGUGUGUGUGUGUGUGUACAUAUGUGCAUGUAUAUCUAUAUGUACUUUUUUCUCUCUCUCUCUCUCUAUAUAUAUGGCAUAUAAACACAGUAAAUUCAAAGAAUCGAGCAAAAGCAGAUUUUGGUUUUUACUUUAAGAAUAUCAUUUCACUUCCUGAAAAAUUAGGAAUUAGGAGUUUCAAGGAUACCACGUAGCAUUUAGACUUGAGUGGGAGCUAAGAAAGUUCAAAUGAGGGGAGGAAGAAAGUUCCUGGUCAGGCCCGGUAUAGUGACUAAGCCUGUAAUCCCAGCACUUUAGGAGGCUGAGGUGGGAGGAUUGUUUGAGCUCAGGAGUUUGAGAUCAGCCUGGGCAACCUAGCAAGAUUCUGAUCUCUAUUUAAAAAAAAAAUAAAAUAAAAUAAAGAAAAGAAAACCUGGGUCAGUGGCGUCAGUGAACCCUGGAGGAUGCUGUGAUCCUCUUGGUGGUGUCCCCAGCCUCUGCUU